Molecule: transfer RNA, 70 nt
Filed under: Ditylum brightwellii
Lineage: Eukaryota; Bacillariophyta; Thalassiosirophyceae; Lithodesmiales; Lithodesmiaceae
Rfam family: tRNA
About the family: Transfer RNA (tRNA) molecules are approximately 80 nucleotides in length.
Source: RNAcentral
CAGAGAUGGUCUAGUUGGUUAUGACGCGCCCUUCACACGGGUGAGGUCCCGGGUUCGAUUCCCGGUCUUU